Molecule: long non-coding RNA, 208 nt
Filed under: Phoenix dactylifera (date palm)
Lineage: Eukaryota; Viridiplantae; Streptophyta; Magnoliopsida; Arecales; Arecaceae
Description: long non-coding RNA (PDAC_LNC022553)
Source: RNAcentral
AUGCAAGAAAAGAAAUGGUAGACUGAACCAUAUAAUUAUUUUUAUUAUAUAUGUGACUGCAUCGUGACUAUAGGUCAACCAAGGUCGGAUCAUAAGGCACCUAAGUAAUCUAGUCGGGAUAUUCAACCUCUAUCUUUAUGUGAAAACCAAAUUCUGAACCUUAUGGUACGAACAAGGAUACUCAUACUUCUUUUAUGGAUAAGGCUAA